Molecule: ribosomal RNA, 942 nt
Filed under: Loigolactobacillus coryniformis
Lineage: Bacteria; Bacillati; Bacillota; Bacilli; Lactobacillales; Lactobacillaceae
Description: bacterial SSU rRNA
Rfam family: Bacterial small subunit ribosomal RNA
Source: RNAcentral
CGGCGUGCCUAAUACAUGCAAGUCGAACGCACUGACGUCGACCGAGCUGCUUGCAGUGGACGUUGAUUGACGUGAGUGGCGGACGGGUGAGUAACACGUGGGUAACCUACCCUUAAGUGGGGGAUAACAUUUGGAAACAGAUGCUAAUACCGCAUAACCAUUCAGACCACAUGGUCUGAAUGUAAAAGACGGCCUUUGGCUGUCACUUUUGGACGGACCCGCGGCGUAUUAGUUAGUUGGUAAGGUAACGGCUUACCAAGACAAUGAUACGUAGCCGACCUGAGAGGGUGAUCGGCCACAUUGGGACUGAGACACGGCCCAAACUCCUACGGGAGGCAGCAGUAGGGAAUCUUCCACAAUGGACGGAAGUCUGAUGGAGCAACGCCGCGUGAGUGAAGAAGGUUUUAGGAUCGUAAAACUCUGUUGUUGGAGAAGAACAGGGACUAGAGUAACUGUUAGUCCUUUGACGGUAUCCAACCAGAAAGCCACGGCUAACUACGUGCCAGCAGCCGCGGUAAUACGUAGGUGGCAAGCGUUGUCCGGAUUUAUUGGGCGUAAAGCGAGCGCAGGCGGUUUUUUAAGUCUGAUGUGAAAGCCUUCGGCUUAACCGAAGAAGUGCAUUAGAAACUGGGAAACUUGAGUGCAGAAGAGGACAGUGGAACUCCAUGUGUAGCGGUGAAAUGCGUAGAUAUAUGGAAGAACACCAGUGGCGAAGGCGGCUGUCUGGUCUGUAACUGACGCUGAGGCUCGAAAGUAUGGGGAGCGAACAGGAUUAGAUACCCUGGUAGUCCAUACCGUAAACGAUGAAUGCUAAGUGUUGGAGGGUUUCGCCCUUCAGUGCUGCAGCUAACGCAUUAAGCAUUCCGCCUGGGGAGUACGACCGCAAGGUUGAAACUCAAAGGAAUUGACGGGGGCCCCGCACAAGCCGUGGAACACAUGUUG